GACGAACGCUGGCGGCGUGCUUAACACAUGCAAGUCGAACGGUAAGGCCCUUCGGGGUACACGAGUGGCGAACGGGUGAGUAACACGUGGGUGAUCAGUCCUGCACUUCAGGAUAAGCCUGGGAAACUGGGUCUAAUACCGGAUAGGACCACUGCCUGCAUGGGUGGGGGUGGAAAGCUUUUGCGGUGUGGGAUGGGCCCGCGGCCUAUCAGCUUGUUGGUGGGGUGAUGGCCUACCAAGGCGACGACGGGUAGCCGGCCUGAGAGGGUGACCGGCCACACUGGGACUGAGAUACGGCCCAGACUCCUACGGGAGGCAGCAGUGGGGAAUAUUGCACAAUGGGCGCAAGCCUGAUGCAGCGACGCCGCGUGAGGGAUGACGGCCUUCGGGUUGUAAACCUCUUUCAGCACCGACGAAGCGCAAGUGACGGUAGGUGCAGAAGAAGGACCGGCCAACUACGUGCCAGCCGCCGCCGUAA
Molecule: ribosomal RNA, 478 nt
Filed under: uncultured bacterium
Lineage: Bacteria
Description: partial 16S ribosomal RNA
Rfam family: Bacterial small subunit ribosomal RNA
Source: RNAcentral